This 64-nucleotide transfer RNA is filed under the name marine eukaryotic metagenome. It matches the Rfam family "tRNA", at positions 6 to 65 of the family's 71-position model. From Rfam's summary of the family: Transfer RNA (tRNA) molecules are approximately 80 nucleotides in length. Their secondary structure includes four short double-helical elements and three loops (D, anti-codon, and T loops). Further hydrogen bonds mediate the characteristic L-shaped molecular structure. tRNAs have two regions of fundamental functional importance: the anti-codon, which is responsible for specific mRNA codon recognition, and the 3' end, to which the tRNAs corresponding amino acid is attached (by aminoacyl-tRNA synthetases). tRNAs cope with the degeneracy of the genetic code in two manners: having more than one tRNA (with a specific anti-codon) for a particular amino acid; and 'wobble' base-pairing, i.e. permitting non-standard base-pairing at the 3rd anti-codon position. The record is from RNAcentral.
GGGAUAGCUCAGUUGGCAGAGCAGCUGACUGUUAAUCAGCGGGUCGCAGGUUCGAGCCCUGCUC